RNAcentral lists this signal recognition particle RNA (99 nucleotides) under Acidobacteriota bacterium. RNAcentral describes it as "signal recognition particle sRNA small type". It matches the Rfam family "Bacterial small signal recognition particle RNA". From Rfam's summary of the family: The signal recognition particle (SRP) is a universally conserved ribonucleoprotein involved in the co-translational targeting of proteins to membranes. Archaeal SRP consists of a 7S RNA and homologues of the eukaryotic SRP19 and SRP54 proteins. The record is from RNAcentral. Lineage: Bacteria; Pseudomonadati; Acidobacteriota.
GUCCGGGACCUGUGCAAUCUCAGGGCGGCGAACCGCGUCAGGGCCGGAAGGCAGCAGCGCUCAGUCGUUACCGUGAUGUGUGCAGCCAUUCCGGGCCGC